Molecule: small nucleolar RNA, 95 nt
Organism: Manihot esculenta (cassava)
Lineage: Eukaryota; Viridiplantae; Streptophyta; Magnoliopsida; Malpighiales; Euphorbiaceae
Product: small nucleolar RNA Z103
Exons: 1
Source: RefSeq, a predicted model, not a curated record
AUGGAGGUAUGAUUUUUUCCCCAGAUGAUCGACGCUGAAUAUACUGUGCGAUUUUUAAUCUCCAUUGAGAUUCACAGCCAGUCUUGCUGAUCCAU